Molecule: ribosomal RNA, 423 nt
Filed under: Triticum aestivum (bread wheat)
Lineage: Eukaryota; Viridiplantae; Streptophyta; Magnoliopsida; Poales; Poaceae
Description: partial small subunit ribosomal RNA
Source: RNAcentral
AUGGCGGCGACAGGGAGCGCUAAGAGCCGACGGUUCGCCGCAGCGUGCGGCGUUCUCAGCCGCUGCAUCAAGGCGGCGGAGGCGCGGCUGGUGGCUCUCCCCCUCAUGCCCGGAGCGGAAGUGCCCGCGCUGCAAGACGAGCACGCGGUGGGUCCUGCGCCGGAGCACGCGCAGAUGACCAUCUUCUACGGUGGGCGGGUGCUAGUGCUGGACGAGGUCCCGGCCGACAAGGCCGCCGAGCUGCUCCGUGUCGCUGCCGCAGCAGGCACCGUGCGAGGGGACGGCGACCUGCCCAUGGCGAGGAAGGCGUCGCUGCAGAGGUUCAUGGAGAAGCGCAAGGGAAGGCUCGCCGAGCGCGCCGUCCCCUACAGCAGGCCCGACGGCGAUGCGUUCUCCUGUAGCCGUCUCACGCUUACGCUCUGA